This 404-nucleotide ribosomal RNA is filed under the name uncultured bacterium. Its description in RNAcentral is "bacterial SSU rRNA". It matches the Rfam family "Bacterial small subunit ribosomal RNA", at positions 976 to 1380 of the family's 1533-position model. The record is from RNAcentral.
CGGGCUUGAACUGCAGAGGAAGGAAUGAGAGAUCAUGACGCCCUUCGGGGUCUCUGUGGAGGUGCUGCAUGGUUGUCGUCAGCUCGUGCCGUGAGGUGUCGGCUUAAGUGCCAUAACGAGCGCAACCCCUUUCGCUAGUUGCCAUCAGGUCAUGCUGGGCACUCUGGCGAUACUGCCACCGUAAGGUGUGAGGAAGGUGGGGAUGACGUCAAAUCAGCACGGCCCUUACGUCCGGGGCUACACACGUGUUACAAUGGCGCAUACAGAGAGUUGGUUGCCGGCAACGGUGGUCUAAUCAAUAAAAUGCGUCGUAGUUCGGAUUGGGGUCUGCAACCCGACCCCAUGAAGCUGGAUUCGCUAGUAAUCGCGCAUCAGCCAUGGCGCGGUGAAUACGUUCCCGGGCC